UAACGCGAAGAACCUUACCAGGUCUUGACAUCCUCUGACACUCCUAGAGAUAGGACUUUCCCCUUCGGGGGACAGAGUGACAGGUGGUGCAUGGUUGUCGUCAGCUCGUGUCGUGAGAUGUUGGGUUAAGUCCCGCAACGAGCGCAACCCUUGAUCUUAGUUGCCAGCAUUUAGUUGGGCACUCUAAGGUGACUGCCGGUGACAAACCGGAGGAAGGUGGGGAUGACGUCAAAUCAUCAUGCCCCUUAUGACCUGGGCUACACACGUGCUACAAUGGAUGGUACAAAGGGCAGCGAAGCCGCGAGGUGGAGCCAAUCCCAUAAAACCAUUCUCAGUUCGGAUUGUAGGCUGCAACUCGCCUACAUGAAGCCGGAAUCGCUAGUAAUCGCGGAUCAGCAUGCCGCGGUGAAUACGUUCCCGGGCCUUGUACACACCG
Molecule: ribosomal RNA, 436 nt
Filed under: uncultured bacterium
Lineage: Bacteria
Description: bacterial SSU rRNA
Rfam family: Bacterial small subunit ribosomal RNA
Source: RNAcentral